CAUGUGGUUUAAUUCGAUGAUACGCGAGGAACCGUUACCUGGGCUCGAACGUAAGAUGACUGUAGGUGAAAGCUUACAUCUCUUCGGAGCAUUUUACGAGGUGCUGCAUGGUUGUCGUCAGCUCGUGCCGUGAGGUGUCGGGUUAAGUCCCAUAACGAGCGCAACCCCUACCUUUAGUUGCCAUCAGGUUAAGCUGGGACUCUAAAGGAACUGCCUACGCAAGUAGUGAGGAAGCGGGGAUGACGUCAAAUCAGCACGGCCCUUACGUCCAGGGCUACACACGUGCUACAAUGGCCGGUACAGAGGGCAGCUACCUGGUGACAGGAUGCAAAUCUCCAAAGUCGGUCUCAGUUCGGAUCGGAGUCUGCAACCCGACUCCGUGAAGUUGGAUUCGCUAGUAAUCGCGCAUCAGCCAUGGCGCGGUGAAUACGUUCCCGGGCCUU
Molecule: ribosomal RNA, 443 nt
Filed under: uncultured Sphingobacteriales bacterium
Lineage: Bacteria; Pseudomonadati; Bacteroidota; Sphingobacteriia; Sphingobacteriales
Description: bacterial SSU rRNA
Rfam family: Bacterial small subunit ribosomal RNA
Source: RNAcentral